AUAGUUUGCUAGGAGAGCUGGUGUUGCCAGCUGAGAGUAAGACCUUAAGUCUUUGAUCCUUUUUAUUACCUGAUCUAGAUUAUGCUAGCGUAGGGAAGCAAUUCGGACACUAA
Bacillus anthracis str. 'Ames Ancestor' is the source of this 113-nucleotide regulatory RNA element. It matches the Rfam family "TPP riboswitch aptamer (THI element)". From Rfam's summary of the family: Vitamin B(1) in its active form thiamin pyrophosphate (TPP) is an essential coenzyme that is synthesised by coupling of pyrimidine and thiazole moieties in bacteria. The record is from Rfam. Lineage: Bacteria; Bacillati; Bacillota; Bacilli; Caryophanales; Bacillaceae.